This 342-nucleotide ribosomal RNA is filed under the name Triticum aestivum (bread wheat). RNAcentral describes it as "partial small subunit ribosomal RNA". The record is from RNAcentral. Lineage: Eukaryota; Viridiplantae; Streptophyta; Magnoliopsida; Poales; Poaceae.
AAUCAUCCGUUCUACGUGUGCAGCAAGAAUGGGGUGACAUGCUUCUUUCUUUGGAUCGAUGCUCUGCCCAAGACUCUGAUGAAUGAACUGCAAGAAGAGCAUGAAGAAUGGUUGUGCAUGCUGCCACAAACGGCAGUGGCCGCAGCACGAGCUCCAGAAGAAGAGAUGAAGGGCGAAGCACGCAUUGACAGAGAGCUAGCUGUUGAGCUCGGGAUGUUGAAGAAGAAGGUUAGGAAGCUUGAAGAUCAAGCACUACCAAUACCCAUUUAUAAAUACUUUGGGGCAUUUGUAGAUAUGGUAAUCGCACUGGUUGUAAUGUUGAAAAUGUAUGGAAAGUCAUGA